Molecule: long non-coding RNA, 1389 nt
Filed under: Canis lupus familiaris (dog)
Lineage: Eukaryota; Metazoa; Chordata; Mammalia; Carnivora; Canidae
Description: lncRNA (ENSCAFG00845005735.1)
Source: RNAcentral
AAUACACAUCAAGUAUACUUUAAUAGAUUAGUGAAAUUUGCAAAGAAAGUAGAGGAAGGUCGAUUUGGCACUGUCUUGAUAAAAUCACAAGUAGUAGGCAUCACCAUUAUGAAAUACACCUUUGUGCAUUUCAAGAAAAGAACUGACAUGAUUCAUUUUGUACAAAAUAAUUGGAGACUGUUGCACUUUAUUGAAUUUUGUAAAAACAGAAAAACAAACAAAAAAUUAAUUUAAGUGAUAGAGUAACAAUUGAGAAACUUCCAAGUAGGAAUAGACAUAUUGACUUAAAAUACAAACUAUCAUAAAUGUUAGGACUAGACAUAAUAACUCACAUAUAGCAAAGAUAUUUUCUGAAUUGUCUUCUACAUUUAUAUGUUCAAAAUUGAUUUAGAGGUCAACACAGAUAUAUCUAAGUGAUUAGAAUUUAAAGUUACAAAAAAAAAGAAUUUAAAGUUACAAUGUAGAUUUCUUCUUUUUCACAAAAGAACAUUAUAAAUCAAUAUGGAUCAGAUUCCUUUGCAAUCUUGGUAUUCCUUUUGGAACGUAAAUGGAGAUGAAAGUUAGACACAUAGAUUUCAUCUAUAUCUCACUUUGGUUGAGAAUUUCUAAGGAAUGUCAAUCUGAUUUUAAAAGAAAUAGACUUUCAAAUAAGAAAUGCCCUCUUCCACAUUAAAAAAAAGGAAAGAAUUCCUUUCUAAAAUAUUUAUUCACCACUGGAUAUGUCACCAAUUGGGAAGUGCCAAUCUCAUCUAUAAAUGUGAGAAGUGGAACAAGAAGAAGAGGCAGCUCUUGUGAAAUGCAGCAAGGCAGUAACCUAGGGCGAGGUUUGACAAAUCUUGAUUGUGUGAUUUCCUAUCCUUUUGGUUCAUUCUGCCACCCACCAGACAACUAAAAAUAAAACACAGGCUCAAUAAUUUUAGCACAUAAGAUAGAUUUGUCAAAUAAUACAUAAUGUUAUUGUAACUAUCAAGUAGCAAUACCCUUAAAGCAUGAGUCAUUCUCAGUGUUGAACCUGGAAAAAUAAGUACAAGCAGGGAGUCUUUUUCAACCUACUGGUAACCUGUUGAAUUCACUCAAUUACUAUUUUUAUCAAUCAUAGUUUGUUUCCUAAUCUUCCCAUUUGCUCAUAUGUUCUUCUUGGCCAUUGAAAUAUCUGAAUUGUAUGUAAAAAUGUAAAGAUUUUGAUUUUUCCAUGUAAAAAAAAUAUGCAUGGUCUUUUAUUUCUUCUCUUUUAAGCACCAAGUCAGUGUUCUAAAGUUGUAUAAUUACUGUAAAAAUUAUAUUCCAAUACUCUAUAUAAACUUAAAUGUGGCCAGCAUUAUUAUUUCAGAGUUGCCAUACAAUACAGAACAUCCUUCACUUAGUUUGUAAAGAGUUUUAACCAGUGUG